UUGCAGUGAUGACUAUCUUAGGACACCUUUGGAAAAAAUAAUGAAAAGAAAAAAAAACUGCUGAGCAAC
Molecule: small nucleolar RNA, 69 nt
Organism: Polypterus senegalus (gray bichir)
Lineage: Eukaryota; Metazoa; Chordata; Cladistia; Polypteriformes; Polypteridae
Product: small nucleolar RNA SNORD58
Exons: 1
Source: RefSeq, a predicted model, not a curated record